UAAGCGAACAGUGCGCCGACCUGCGUAGCAUGCACUGUAACUUGUAAGUUGUGCAGUGCGCUGUUCACGAUUUCAUACCACACAAAGGAAUGACUGCAUGCGUCGCUGAUCUCCACAAAAUUAGCAACGGCGGAGCAAGGAAGCCAACUAAGAAAGAAGUAAUGAUUAUCGGCAAUGGCUUCUAUUUCCUGCAUGAAAUGUUUUCCAGGAGGAAAUGUAUACUGCCAGGGGCCUUGAGUAAUAGAAGUGACCUAGGCCUCUCUGAACCUCUAAGAGGCCUGUGACCAUCAAUAGAACUGUUGAUUCUCCGGUUAUUCUUCUCCUAUUCUUACUACGUUGUGACUACGCUUUGUUCCCAUCAGUCGUGAUGUGAUGACCCACCCCGGAUUUAGCGUGUUGGUCAAGUGCAAGUGGGACUUCUAUUGUCAAAGUGUCCGCAGUUGGUGGGAGAAGGUAUAUGGCGAUUCACGGUUCGCAGAGAAUUUCCGAAAUCCACCAAAUUUUCUAACGCACUUUUUGUCACUUAUAGUCUUUUAUAUUCUUUUGUGUGUGUUUUGCAGCCCGAGAUAAAGACGCCGUUUGCAAUCAGUUAUUUACACAACUUUUUCUUUCAAUGAAAUAUAAUUAAUUCACAGAACACAAAGAGAGAGAAAAAAAAAAGAAACUCACACUAACAAAAUCGGAAAAUCGAGCAAACAAUAACCUCAAAAUGAUGAUAGUUGACAGACACAUUUCUUAAAAAGAUUUCAGUGAUAGUUUACUCGGCAAAAUUACCAUCACUUCCACCACCUAUUAUGUUUGUUGUUGUUUUAAUUAGUUAAAGUGAUACAGUCAUGCGGGAGGUUGCUGGACAAUGGUGCCUUUGCAUUUACGGAACAAGCGGCCUAGAAUUUUUAGAUGAAGGCAGUAAGUAAAUACGUUAUUAAUAAAAAUGACUUAUCUGAAACAGA
RNAcentral lists this unclassified non-coding RNA (950 nucleotides) under Limulus polyphemus (Atlantic horseshoe crab). RNAcentral describes it as "uncharacterized LOC111085811, transcript variant X9". Lineage: Eukaryota; Metazoa; Arthropoda; Merostomata; Xiphosura; Limulidae. The record is from RNAcentral.